ACGCAAAAUGUCCAACCAAACUGUACCUUCAUCCACGAGAGGAUGUAGAAACUCAUUCACAAGUUCAGAAGCAUACAUACAUAUAAACGAAUAACCCCUGCUAGAUAACAGGGUGAACAGCUUUAACUGAACAACUUUGUUUAUUACGUCUUAUUAGACACCAUACUAGUUUUCUUAUUUUAUUUAGAUUUAGCCUAGACCUAAGCCUUGCCUUAAGUUUUGACCA
This 226-nucleotide long non-coding RNA is filed under the name Carica papaya (papaya). RNAcentral describes it as "long non-coding RNA (CPAP_LNC016473)". The record is from RNAcentral. Lineage: Eukaryota; Viridiplantae; Streptophyta; Magnoliopsida; Brassicales; Caricaceae.